GACCCAGUGGUGAAAUGAUAUCACGUCCACUCCCUGUAAUCUUACUUUGACACGGGUAGUAAAUGGGAGUCCCUUGUUCGAAUCAAGGCUGGGUCA
Molecule: non-coding RNA, 96 nt
Organism: Mycena rebaudengoi
Lineage: Eukaryota; Fungi; Basidiomycota; Agaricomycetes; Agaricales; Mycenaceae
Source: the annotation of a GenBank genome assembly